GACGAAGGAUGCAAGCGUUAUCCGGAUUCAUUGGGUUUAAAGGGAGCGUAGGUAGACUUAUAAGUCAGUGGUGAAAUCUCCGAGCUCAACUCGGAAACUGCCAUUGAUACUGUAGGUCUAGAGUACAGUUGCCGUUGGCGGAAUAUGACAUGUAGUGGUGAAAUACUUAGAUAUGUCAUAGAACACCGAUUGCGAAGGCAGCUAACGAAGCUGUAACUGACACUGAGGCUCGAAAGUGCGGGGAUCAAACAGG
RNAcentral lists this ribosomal RNA (253 nucleotides) under uncultured bacterium. Its description in RNAcentral is "partial 16S ribosomal RNA". It matches the Rfam family "Bacterial small subunit ribosomal RNA", at positions 524 to 776 of the family's 1533-position model. The record is from RNAcentral.